CUUCGGCAGUGCCGGCAGGAAUGGAUCUUCUCCAGAGCUGGCGUGCGAUGGUUCUGCUCUGCCUCCUCUUGCCGGGAGGGCGUCCCAGCCCCUGCGGCGUGGCCAUCUCCCCCGAGGAGCCGGCGGUGGAGCUCGGCAGCUCCAUCGUGCUGAACUGCACCAGCUCCUGCGGCAACUACAGCCAGCUGGGCUGGGAGGUCUCCGUGCAGAAGAUGCUGGCGCAGGGCCCCGGCUGGGUGUCCCUGCACAUCCCCAGCGUCUCCGACUGGCACCUGGACCUCCAGUGCUUCGGCGUCUUCGGGAAGCAGCGGGACAUCGCCGUCACCACGCUCCACGGCUACAGGCUCCCACUCCCGCAGAUCGACCUGGGCGAGGAGAUGGUGGCGGGCAGGGAGGCGCGCGUCGCCUGCAACGUCUCCAGCYGGCUCCUGCCCCCGGGCCCGCUGGACCUGGAGCUGACGCUGACGCUGAGCGCCGGGGGCCGCACGCUGAGCACCGCCCGCGGCCGCCCCUGGCUGGUGCACGGCUUCACCGCGCGCCCGGAGCAGGACGGCCAGGAGGUGACCUGCGAGGCUCUGCUGCACCUGGGCCGGCGCUGGGUCAACGCCAGCGCCGCCGCCACGCUGCGGGUCUGGGCUGCGCCCUACGGCGUGAACGUCUCGGCCACCCCAGACCCCUUCGCCGCCGGCGAGAACCUCACGGUGACGUGCCGGGUGCAGGGCAACCCCCCGCCCCAGCUCCGCUGGGAGCUGCCCUCCAACGCCAGCCUGGAGCUGCGGGACGGGAACGCCACUGUGGCCGUGCAGGGCGCCGGGAGGCAGCACAGUGGCACCUACCGCUGCCUGGCCGCCAACCGCUACGGGGCCGGCGCCGCCCGGGCGGACGUGGGGUUCCGAGGUGAGGUGCCCGCAGGGUCGCCCCGCAGCCCGCUGGUGCCCGUGGCCGUGGCGCUGGCCGUGGUCGUGGCGCUGGCCGCCGUCGCCGGCCUCUGGUACCUGUCGCACGCCCGCGGAUGGAGACCCAUGCAGGAGGGGGCCCGGCCGGGCUAGCGYCGCCCGCGCCGCGCGCUCAGGGCUGUACGUGCAAGACAACAAGAGAGAUUCUCCUCUG
Apteryx rowi (Okarito brown kiwi) is the source of this 1110-nucleotide long non-coding RNA. Ensembl annotates it as vascular cell adhesion protein 1-like. Lineage: Eukaryota; Metazoa; Chordata; Aves; Apterygiformes; Apterygidae. The record is from Ensembl.